This 394-nucleotide ribosomal RNA is filed under the name uncultured bacterium. RNAcentral's name for it is "bacterial SSU rRNA". It matches the Rfam family "Bacterial small subunit ribosomal RNA", at positions 29 to 413 of the family's 1533-position model. The record is from RNAcentral.
AAUGAACGCUGGCGGCGCGCCUAAUACAUGCAAGUCGAGCGAGAAGACGUAGCAAUACGUUUGUAAAGCGGCGAACGGGUGAGGAAUACAUGGGUAACCUACCCUCGAGUGGGGAAUAACUAGCCGAAAGGUUAGCUAAUACCGCGUACGCUUCUUGGACUUCGGUUCAGGGAGGAAAGCGAUGCCGAGGGUAUCGCGCUCUUGGAUGGGCUCAUGUCCUAUCAGCUUGUUGGNGAGGUAACGGCUCACCAAGGCUUCGGCGGGUAGCUGGUCUGAGAGGACGAUCAGCCACACUGGCACUGCGACACGGGCCAGACUCCUACGGGAGGCAGCAGUAAGGAAUAUUGCGCAAUGGGCGAAAGCCUGACGCAGCGACGCCGCGUGGGGGAGUGAA